GUAGGGAAUUUUGCGCAAUGGGCGAAAGCCUGACGCAGCAACACCGCGUGAGUGAUGAAGCAUCUUGGUGUGUAAAACUCUGUCAGAGGGGACGAAAUAUGACGGUACCCUCAAAGGAAGCACCGGCUAACUACGUGCCAGCAGCCGCGGUAAGACGUAGGGUGCAAGCGUUGUCCGGAAUUAUUGGGCGUAAAGAGUUCGUAGGCGGCAUGAAAAGUCUGGUGUUAAAGCCUGGAGCUCAACUCCAGUUCGGCAUCGGAUACUUUCAAGCUAGAGUACAGAAGAGGCAAAGGGAAUUCCUAGUGUAGCGGUGAAAUGCGUAGAUAUUAGGAGGAACACCGGUGGCGUAAGCGCUUUGCUGGGCUGUAACUGACGCUGAGGAACGAAAGCCGGGGGAGCAAAUGGGAUUAGAUACCCCAGUAGUCC
This 426-nucleotide ribosomal RNA is filed under the name uncultured bacterium. Its description in RNAcentral is "bacterial SSU rRNA". It matches the Rfam family "Bacterial small subunit ribosomal RNA", at positions 354 to 796 of the family's 1533-position model. The record is from RNAcentral.